CAGGGAUUGCCCUAGUAACGGCGAGUGAAGCGGCAACAGCUCAAAUUUGAAAUCUGGCUCUUUCAGAGUCCGAGUUGUAAUUUGCAGAGGGCGCUUUGGCUUUGGCAGCGGUCCAAGUUCCUUGGAACAGGACGUCACAGAGGGUGAGAAUCCCGUACGUGGUCGCUAGCUAUUGCCGUGUAAAGCCCCUUCGACGAGUCGAGUUGUUUGGGAAUGCAGCUCUAAAUGGGAGGUAAAUUUCUUCUAAAGCUAAAUAUUGGCCAGAGACCGAUAGCGCACAAGUAGAGUGAUCGAAAGAUGAAAAGCACUUUGGAAAGAGAGUCAAACAGCACGUGAAAUUGUUGAAAGGGAAGCGCUUGCAGCCAGACUUGCUUGCAGUUGCUCAUCCGGGCUUUUGCCCGGUGCACUCUUCUGUAGGCAGGCCAGCAUCAGUUUGGGCGGUGGGAUAAAGGUCUCUGUCACGUACCUCUCUUCGGGGAGGCCUUAUAGGGGAGACGACAUACCACCAGUCUAGACUGAGGUCCGCGCAUCUGCUAGGAUGCUGGCGUAAUGGCUGUAAGCGGCCCGUCUUGAAACACGGACCAAGGAGUCUAACAUCUAUGCGAGUGUUUGGGUGUCAAGCCCGAGCGCGUAAUGAAAGUGAACGGAGGUGGGAACCCGCAAGGGUGCACCAUCGACCGAUCCUGAAGUUUACGGAAGGAUUUGAGUAAGAGCAUGGCUGUUGGGACCCGAAAGAUGGUGAACUAUGCUUGAAUAGGGUGAAGCCAGAGGAAACUCUGGUGGAGGCUCGCAGCGGUUCUGACGUGCAAAUCGAUCGUCAAAUUUGGGCAUAGGGGCGAAAGACUAAUCGAACUA
Molecule: ribosomal RNA, 855 nt
Filed under: Bipolaris chusqueae
Lineage: Eukaryota; Fungi; Ascomycota; Dothideomycetes; Pleosporales; Pleosporaceae
Description: partial large subunit ribosomal RNA
Rfam family: Eukaryotic large subunit ribosomal RNA
Source: RNAcentral